Molecule: long non-coding RNA, 647 nt
Filed under: Pan troglodytes (chimpanzee)
Lineage: Eukaryota; Metazoa; Chordata; Mammalia; Primates; Hominidae
Description: long non-coding RNA NONPTRT014102
Source: RNAcentral
UUGAACCCAGGAGGCAGAGGUUGCAGUGACUGAGAUCAUGACACUGUACUCCAGCCUGGGUGACAUAGCGAGACUCCAUCUCAAAAGAAAAAAAAAAGAGUAUGGUAGCUUUGAAUUCUCUUCAGCAGACAUAGCAGAACACUCCUGUUGGUCAUCUGUGAGAGUUUCUACCUUAGAAGUUUUGUGGUCAGCAUGAUGGUUUUUUAAAAAAAGAACAGAAAAAAGUAACAACACUAAUACUUCCUAGCUUUUCUGUUUGUUUCAAGUUCUCUUCUUGAUGGCAAGAAGAUGUUCUGCAAAUAUUAUAAUUAAAGGUUUGAUUAAAAUUAAAUCGCCUAAAUUACCUGGGGAAUUUGGAAAGGUGAAGGUUUAUGUAUCCUAUUUGAAAAGUGUCAGGCUUUGUGACAGAAAGAAGAAACAUUUGUGAAGAAGAAAUGUUUAUGAAAUUGUACUAGAAAUACAGUUUUCUGUAAAAGUAAACUUUUAACCCUUAGUUUGAUUUUGCUUCAGUUGAUGAAUUUGAAUGACCAGCAGGGGGCAGCAGAUUUUCAUUAUUACUUAAACUUGCGGUUUGUCAGAAAGUGGCUUUUAUUUAUUUUAUUUAUUUAUUUAUUUAUUUAUUUUUAUUAUACUUUAAGUUUUAGGGU